GUGGGGAAUAUUGGACAAUGGGCGAAAGCCUGAUCCAGCAAUGCCGCGUGUGUGAAGAAGGUCUUCGGAUUGUAAAGCACUUUCGACGGGGACGAUGAUGACGGUACCCGUAGAAGAAGCCCCGGCUAACUUCGUGCCAGCAGCCGCGGUAAUACGAAGGGGGCUAGCGUUGCUCGGAAUGACUGGGCGUAAAGGGCGCGUAGGCGGAUGGCACAGUCAGAUGUGAAAUUCCCGGGCUUAACCUGGGGGCUGCAUUUGAUACGUGUGAUCUAGAGUGAGGAAGAGGGUCGUGGAAUUCCCAGUGUAGAGGUGAAAUUCGUAGAUAUUGGGAAGAACACCGGUGGCGAAGGCGGCGACCUGGUCCUUUACUGACGCUGAGGCGCGAAAGCGUGGGGAGCAAACAGGAUUAGAUACCCUUGUAGUCC
Molecule: ribosomal RNA, 425 nt
Filed under: uncultured bacterium
Lineage: Bacteria
Description: bacterial SSU rRNA
Rfam family: Bacterial small subunit ribosomal RNA
Source: RNAcentral